This 377-nucleotide ribosomal RNA is filed under the name uncultured bacterium. Its description in RNAcentral is "bacterial SSU rRNA". It matches the Rfam family "Bacterial small subunit ribosomal RNA", at positions 523 to 898 of the family's 1533-position model. The record is from RNAcentral.
AUACGUAGGUGGCAAGCGUUGUCCGGAAUUAUUGGGCGUAAAGCGCGCGCAGGCGGCUUCUUAAGUCUGAUGUGAAAUUCUGCAGCUCAACUGCAGGCGGGCAUUGGAAACUGGGGAGCUUGAGUACAGAAGAGGAGAGUAGAAUUCCACGUGUAGCGGUGAAAUGCGUAGAGAUGUGGAGGAAUACCAGUGGCGAAGGCGGCUCUCUGGUCUGUUACUGACGCUGAGGUGCGAAAGCGUGGGGAGCGAACAGGAUUAGAUACCCUGGUAGUCCACGCCGUAAACGAUGAAUGCCAGGUGUUAGGGGGGUCCAACCCCUUAGUGCUGAAGUUAACACAUUAAGCAUUCCGCCUGGGGAGUACGGCCGCAAGGCUGAA